CUCGUAGGCGGUUUGUCGCGUCGUCUGUGAAAACUCAUGGCUCAACCAUGAGCUUGCAGGCGAUACGGGCAGACUUGAGUAUUGCAGGGGAGACUGGAAUUCCUGGUGUAGCGGUGAAAUGCGCAGAUAUCAGGAGGAACACCGGUGGCGAAGGCGGGUCUCUGGGCAAAUACUGACGCUGAGGAGCGAAAGCAUGGGUAGCAAACA
This 207-nucleotide ribosomal RNA is filed under the name uncultured bacterium. RNAcentral's name for it is "partial 16S ribosomal RNA". It matches the Rfam family "Bacterial small subunit ribosomal RNA", at positions 568 to 774 of the family's 1533-position model. The record is from RNAcentral.